GACGAACGCUGGCGGCGUGCUUAACACAUGCAAGUCGAACGGAAAGGCCCUGCUUUUGUGGGUUGCUCGAGUGGCGAACGGGUGAGUAACACGUGAGUAACCUGCCCUUGACUUUGGGAUAACUUCAGGAAACUGGGGCUAAUACCGGAUAGGAGCUCCUGCUGCAUGGUGGGGGUUGGAAAGUUUCGGCGGUUGGGGAUGGACUCGCGGCUUAUCAGCUUGUUGGUGGGGUAGUGGCUUACCAAGGCUUUGACGGGUAGCCGGCCUGAGAGGGUGACCGGCCACAUUGGGACUGAGAUACGGACCAGACGCCUACGGGAGGCAGCAGUGGGGAAUAUUGCACAAUGGGCGGAAGCCUGAUGCAGCAACGCCGCGUGCGGGAUGACGGCCUUCGGGUUGUAAACCGCUUUCGCCUGUGACGAAGCGUGAGUGACGGUAAUGGGUAAAGAAGCACCGGCUAACUACGUG
RNAcentral lists this ribosomal RNA (468 nucleotides) under uncultured bacterium. Its description in RNAcentral is "partial 16S ribosomal RNA". It matches the Rfam family "Bacterial small subunit ribosomal RNA", at positions 28 to 507 of the family's 1533-position model. The record is from RNAcentral.